UACGUAGGGUGCGAGCGUUAAUCGGAUUUACUGGGCGUAAAGCGUGCGCAGGCGGCCCGUUAAGACAGGUGUGAAAUCCCUGGGCUCAACCUAGGAAUUGCGCUUGUGACUGUCGGGCUCGAGUACGGUAGAGGGGGGUGGAAUUCCUGGUGUAGCAGUGAAAUGCGUAGAGAUCAGGAGGAACACCGAUGGCGAAGGCAGCCCCCUGGGCCUGUACUGACGCUCAUGCACGAAAGCGUGGGGAGCAAACAGG
RNAcentral lists this ribosomal RNA (253 nucleotides) under uncultured microorganism. Its description in RNAcentral is "partial 16S ribosomal RNA". It matches the Rfam family "Bacterial small subunit ribosomal RNA", at positions 524 to 776 of the family's 1533-position model. The record is from RNAcentral.